Molecule: non-coding RNA, 46 nt
Organism: Schistosoma curassoni
Lineage: Eukaryota; Metazoa; Platyhelminthes; Trematoda; Strigeidida; Schistosomatidae
Source: Rfam
GCACUACUGAGGAGUCCCAUACUAGGACGAAACGGCCGUCCAGUGC